RNAcentral lists this long non-coding RNA (1535 nucleotides) under Homo sapiens (human). RNAcentral's name for it is "small nucleolar RNA host gene 1, transcript variant 2 (SNHG1)". The stretch from base 254 to 322 matches the Rfam family "Small nucleolar RNA SNORD25". The record is from RNAcentral. Lineage: Eukaryota; Metazoa; Chordata; Mammalia; Primates; Hominidae.
CUCAUUUUUCUACUGCUCGUGGUAAGUGGCUUCGUGGUCUUUAUAGCUGUUACUCUUUUGUACUUUGUCUUUUUCUUUUAUUUUCUUUUGAGCGAUUGUGCGAACAUAGCAUAGCACGCACUAUGCCUUCUGUGUUGUAGCUGCCUGGCCAGGGCGACUGGCGGAUAAGGUCUUGUGCGUGGCCUCGAGGCUUAAAAGUAGCAGUGGGGCUUUGUGAAGGACAAAAUGGCGAUGGCGGGCCGUGUAGGUCCCCCUUCCUAUGAUGAGGACCUUUUCACAGACCUGUACUGAGCUCCGUGAGGAUAAAUAACUCUGAGGAGAUGGGCCCUGCAAGCCUCUUGCUUAGCCGUCUGUUCAGAAAAUAGCGUUUUCGAAAUGCCCUGAGUUGACCUAAUGUCUUAUUGGGCUCCUGUCUGCAGGAUUUACGCGCACGUUGGAACCGAAGAGAGCUCUGUUGUUGCAAUGUUCAGCCCACAAGAGCUUACUGGUGAAGGAAUGGGACAAGACCCAUCUUUAUGCAAAGCCAGCGUUACAGUAAUGUUCCAGCAUCUCAUAAUCUAUCCUGGGGAAUUCAGCUGCCUCCCAGGGUGAAUACAGGUAUUCCUGAUGACAGUCUGCCUCUAUCUUACAGAGCAGCUUGUUGCUAUAUACCAUUGAAAAGCCUUCAGAGCUGAGAGGUACUACUAACCAAUAACCUGCUUGGCUCAAAGGGCCAGCACCUUCUCUCUAAAGCCCAAGAGGAGUUUGAGGAAAACUAGGUGUCUGUGUUCACUCCAGGCUGAAGUUACAGGUCUGAGCAAAUAAGGUGUAUAAAAAAUGGAAUCUGUCUUGGAGGACAUCAGAAGGUGAAUUUUCCAAGUUCUUGGACAACCUAGCUGUUGAAAAGCUUUCUGGGUUUGGGGGGUAUUUCAGAUGUACCUUAAAGUGUUAGCAGACACAGAUUAAGACACUGGGAGCCAAUGAAACAGCAGUUGAGGGUUUGCUGUGUAUCACAUUUCUGUAUUUUAUCACCCCCUUCCUGCAACAUUAUUUAUCUGGAAUCUACCUGCCCUUUUGUUUUUUAGAUACAAGGGCUUGGUUUUGUUACCCAGGCUGGUUUCAAGGCCAUAGCUUUAAGAGAUCCUCUCACCACAGAUUUCCAAAGUGCUGGGAUUGCAGGUGUGAUUCAUGGCACCCAGACUUUGCUGCCUUUCUUACAUGAUCCAGGCCCAGAACCCAAACUCAGGCACUGUAUAGAUGACCACUUUCGUAAACUACUGACCUAGCUUGUUGCCAAUUGUUGAUUGAACUUCCCAUAACUCCACUUCGUGUCUGUUCCUCUGUAUACAGCCACCUUCUGUUCCCGUCAUGAGCCUUUAGGUCUCCAUUUGCAUAUUGCAAAUACUAUGUUCCAUGUAGGUAGCUCAUUCAGGGCCUUGCUCUUCACUUCAAAAAAGGUUCCCUUGAGGACUGGCUGUCAAUUUGUGUUGCUGUGUUGGUUGUUGAUGAAAAUAAUAAAAUGAUUGAUUACAUAGUCCUGUUUAAAAAAAAAAAAA